Cyanistes caeruleus (blue tit) is the source of this 412-nucleotide long non-coding RNA. RefSeq lists it as uncharacterized. NCBI's taxonomy places the organism in Eukaryota, Metazoa, Chordata, Aves, Passeriformes, Paridae. The record is from RefSeq and is a predicted model, not a curated record.
UCUGCCAGCUGAUCCAGCACUCCCACAUGCUGAAAUGGAGCACUGCUUAGAGCUCAUCAGUGCAAAACAUUUUUGAAAACCAUCUGAAGAGUCAGCAGGUUUGGCUUUGCCAGAACGAACUCUUGACACCAAGACAUUUUUACAAAUCAAUGAAAGCAGGAGUCCAAGGACAAGCAACAAGAUUGAUUGAUGCCCUUCCUUGACAUUUCAGGACCAGAACCACUAACAGAUGCUGUAGAGAAGCUCACUGUGCACAUUUUUAAUCCACAUCAUAGACAUAAGCGUAGUAUGUUUGUAAACUGAGGGAGUAGGAUAUUAUUGACCUGAAUGACACUGAAAGCAUUUGCACUCACAAAAAAAUGUAAUGAUCUCCCUUUUAAUAAAGCAACACAUGAAUAAAACAACAGCAUAA